Molecule: ribosomal RNA, 433 nt
Filed under: uncultured bacterium
Lineage: Bacteria
Description: partial 16S ribosomal RNA
Rfam family: Bacterial small subunit ribosomal RNA
Source: RNAcentral
AACGAACGCUGGCGGCAUGCCUAACACAUGCAAGUCGAACGAAAACUUCGGGUCUAGUGGCGCACGGGUGCGUAACGCGUGGGAACCUGCCCUUAGGUUCGGAAUAACUCCCCGAAAGGGGUGCUAAUACCGGAUAAUGUCUUCGGACCAAAGAUUUAUCGCCUUUGGGUGGGCCCGCGUUGGAUUAGCUAGUUGGUAGGGUAAACGCCUACCAAGGCGACGAUCCAUAGCUGGUCUGAGAGGAUGCUCAGCCACACUGGGACUGAGACACGGCCCAGACUCCUACGGGAGGCAGCAGUGGGGAAUAUUGGACAAUGGGCGAAAGCCUGAUCCAGCAACGCCGCGUGAGUGAUGAAGGCCUUAGGGUUGUAAAGCUCUUUUACCCGGGAUGAUAAUGACAGUACCGGGAGAAUAAGCUCCGGCUAACUCCGUG